CACACAGACAGACAGACAGACACACACACAGACAUACGGACAAGAUUGCAAAAUUAUGUUUUUCCGUAUCAGUGAGGUGUAAAACGUCGAGAUUUGUAAAAAUCUCGAUUUUUUUUCACGAUUACAAUACUUUCUCUAUACUUCGUAGAUCUAUAUACGAGAAAGUAAAAAGCGAAAGAAAACGCUUGAACCGAGCAUGCCUUACUUUCGCCAUUUUGGAUUUUUAGUGAAGUCGAUUUGAGACAGACUCUUCGAAUUAAAUGAAAAUAAAAUGUUUAACACCGCAAGUGAUAUAAGAUUUUGUGAUGAAUCGUCUGAUGAAGAUAUUGUGGAAACAGAAUUCGAAGAUUCAAACGAUGAUUUGGGAAAUAUCUCAGUUAAUAACUCAACACAACAUACAAGGCAAUAUCAAUACAAGGGAAUGUCAUCGGUUUGCUGAUGUUUGAAGACAAGACACCACAGACUUCCACCUCUGGCUUAUUUUAUGAUGUAGUUACCAUAUUGUCACAAUCAGUCUUGCGUGAGGCUUUCACAUAUUCGUAACCAUGGAUCUAAGCUGAGCUACUCCUUUUGACUCUGAAGAUAGUGAGUUGUCCAAUGACGAUUAAUAGAGAACGUGAACAUUACCCGGGACCUAUCAGAUGUUGUUGAUGAAGAUUUGUCUGACGUAGUUGAAGCGAAAAAUGAUGAAACUCCUCAGGACCUUCUCAAUUGUCUACAUCAAGGUCGUCUUUAGCUUCAACAGAAUGAUCAGUACCAGUAAACAGCAAAUGUUCCACCAUUUACUGAUCCUAGGAGAGAAGCCAAACCUCAGAAGCGGCAAUUGGAUUAUUUCAACGUCAUCUUUAUAGAUAAUCUGUGUUCAGACAAUUGUGUAUGAAUCCAACCUGUACUGUCCUCUAACAUAACAUCAACAGUCCUUAAGCAGUCAAUAAAGAUUAUUCCUGGAAAUUGGAUUUUACAUAAACAAUAUAAAUAUUUCCUAUACGCUGAAUGUUUUGUUGCCUUGCCACCAAAUGUACUAUGGUUACAGACUUCAUGACCAUCAAAAGAUUCAAGCGGAUUAAGAAUAAUCUACACCUGUCAAACAAUGUCCUGAACAGGACAAACAAUCCAUUAGCACUGGAUAAGAACCAACUAAAACAUUUCCUAGGAAUUGUGUGUAUUACAUAAAGAUUCUAAAAACUCCAAGAUGUCGAGUGUAUUGGAGCCAUGCCACCAAGUGUAUUACUAACUAUUACGGUAACAUAAGUCAUGACCUACAACGGAUUCAAUGGAUUAAGAAUAAUCCGCACCUGUCAAAUUAUGUCCUCAGCAGGACAUAAACAAUCCACUAGUACUGCAUAAAUACGAAAAAAUUUCCUGAAAAAUGUGUUUUACAUAAACAUUGUAAAAAUCAUUCUAGAUCCCAAAGAUAUUGGUGCCUUGCCACCUAAUGUGUUACUGUCACAGACAUAUCCAUCAAUAGAUUCAAGUGGAUUAAGAAUAAGCUACACCUGUCAAACAAUGUUCAAAGGGCAGAAGAAGUUGACCAAUAUUGGAAUUCUGUGCUUAUCAAACCCCAUGCCAACUGAGAUAAGUAUUGAUGAGCAAAUCUACCCAUUCACGUAUCGAGGGCAAAAGCAGUCAAACCUACAACCAUAAAAAGCCAUAUAGAUGAGUUCCAAAGUUUUUGUUGUGUCCAACAACUGUUGUAUAAUCCAAGCUUUUGAAGUGCAUGCAGGUAAAGCUACAAAAGGACGAGAGGACAUUGGUGCUGUUGCUAAUAUUGAGCGGACAUUAUUUCAGAGUGUUCCCCAAUAUGUUAGGAUCAAGCUUUACAUUGACAAUUGGUUCAUCAUUUAGUUGCAGGUUGUCCUGCACCAACAAGGCACUGAAGUUUUUAUUUGUCGUAUAGCAAACAAAUCAAAAUGUGAAUAUUUUACUAUAAACCCGCAUGUGAUUUUUCAGUUGUUUUUUUUACUAUAGUUACUCUCCAAUCCUGUGUACACGUUAUAUACAUUUCUAUAAACAAUUCUAUAUAAAUGAUUUUUUCUUAUGGAAAAAAAGUUUGACAGUUGCGCAUAGUUGCAGAAUUGCAACAACCAAAAUUGUUGUGAUAUUUAUCUAUUCAAAAUUUUCCUAAAUCUCAAGUUAGGCUAUUUGCUGUAGAGAUAUGAAGUCAAAAAUUUUUUUAAAUUUUACCAACUAAAACAAAUGUUUCAUGCAAUUUAGGGUUAAAGUCUGAAAUUCACUUUUGUACAUUCCAAACUGCAUUCAAAACCUGUUUAUUAGGCUAUACAUUUAUAGGCCUAUAGAUUGCAGGUUUAAAUUUUUUUCGUAGAUCUCCCCUUAAAAAUAACUUUUUGGGUAUCUAUUUUACAAUUUCCUUUAGUUUAACACAAACUCUAACUUCAGGCUGUCUGCUAAAAAAAAAACAACCCACAACCAACAUUUCAUUAUAAUAUUGGUGUAGUGGUGUAACAACUAUACUAUUUUUAAUGUAUAGUGGAUCCCUGCAGUGUUUCUUUUAAAGUUUCUGUGUGUGUGUGGGGGGGGGGGGGGGGUCAACAUGCUUCCGGGAUGAGUGUUGUAUGUAUUCUCAAUUCUUAAUUUUUAGUGUAGGAAGGGAUCAAGCCUUAUCUGCUAGAGGGUUUGAACUCUACUUUUUAUUUCGAAUUUAUCAUCCAUUGAUUUGGUAAGACUUGUAUUUAUCAUGUUUUUCUAUUAAACAUUGUUGGCAUAUAG
Physella acuta is the source of this 2727-nucleotide long non-coding RNA. RefSeq lists it as uncharacterized. The record is from RefSeq and is a predicted model, not a curated record. NCBI's taxonomy places the organism in Eukaryota, Metazoa, Mollusca, Gastropoda, Physidae.